RNAcentral lists this ribosomal RNA (420 nucleotides) under Cladia ferdinandii. RNAcentral describes it as "SSU rRNA". It matches the Rfam family "Bacterial small subunit ribosomal RNA", at positions 350 to 760 of the family's 1533-position model. Lineage: Eukaryota; Fungi; Ascomycota; Lecanoromycetes; Lecanorales; Cladoniaceae. The record is from RNAcentral.
AGCAGUGAGGAAUAUUGGUCAAUAGCCUAACGGCUGAACCAGCAACUUGGAGGAAUGUAUAGCAAUAGCUGAUUGCACCAACAAACAGUUGAUGCAAAAUUGACUCUGUCAAAUAAAAUUCUAGGUAGAUUUAUGAUAAUGACAUUGUCUGCCUAUAUGUCUUGACCAAAUUACGUGCCAGCAGUCGCGGUAAUACGUAGAAGACUAGUGUUAUUCAUCUUUAAUUGGUUUAAAGGGUACCUAGACGGUAAAUCAAGCCUUCGCAGGGACUAAUUUGCUAGAGUUACUUAUGAGGGGGUAUUAAAGUACUACGGGUGUAGAGAUGAAAUUCUGUCAUACCUCUUUUCGAAAGAAAAACUAUGGCACAGGUAUAGGUGAAAACAUCCCCUUAUGUGAUAACUGACGUUGAGGGACGAAGGA